AUUGAACGCUGGCGGCAGGCCUAACACAUGCAAGUCGAGCGGAUGAAGGGAGCUUGCUCCUGGAUUCAGCGGCGGACGGGUGAGUAAUGCCUAUGAAUCUGCCUGGUAGUGGGGGAUAACGUCCGGAAACGGGCGCUAAUACCGCAUACGUCCUGAGGGAGAAAGUGGGGGAUCUUCGGACCUCACGCUAUCAGAUGAGCCUAGGUCGGAUUAGCUAGUUGGUGGGGUAAAGGCCUACCAAGGCGACGAUCCGUAACUGGUCUGAGAGGAUGAUCAGUCACACUGGAACUGAGACACGGUCCAGACUCCUACGGGAGGCAGCAGUGGGGAAUAUUGGACAAUGGGCGAAAGCCUGAUCCAGCCAUGCCGCGUGUGUGAAGAAGGUCUUCGGAUUGUAAAGCACUUUAAGUUGGAAGGAAGGGCAGUAAGUUAAUACCUUGCUGUUUUGACGUUACCAACAGAAUAAGCACCGGCUAACUUCGUG
Molecule: ribosomal RNA, 484 nt
Filed under: uncultured bacterium
Lineage: Bacteria
Description: partial 16S ribosomal RNA
Rfam family: Bacterial small subunit ribosomal RNA
Source: RNAcentral